This 632-nucleotide ribosomal RNA is filed under the name Irpex lacteus. RNAcentral's name for it is "eukaryotic LSU rRNA". The stretch from base 231 to 384 matches the Rfam family "5.8S ribosomal RNA". The record is from RNAcentral. Lineage: Eukaryota; Fungi; Basidiomycota; Agaricomycetes; Polyporales; Irpicaceae.
AAGGAUCAUUAUCGAGUUUUGAACGGGUUGUAGCUGGCCUCUCACGAGGCAUGUGCACGCCUGGCUCAUCCACUCUUAACCUCUGUGCACUUUAUGUAAGAGAAAAAAAUGGUGGAAGCUUCCAGGAUCUCGCGAGAGGUCUUUGGUUGAACAAGCCGUUUUUCUUUCUUAUGUUUUACUACAAACGCUUCAGUUAUAGAAUGUCAACUGUGUAUAACACAUUUAUAUACAACUUUCAGCAACGGAUCUCUUGGCUCUCGCAUCGAUGAAGAACGCAGCGAAAUGCGAUAAGUAAUGUGAAUUGCAGAAUUCAGUGAAUCAUCGAAUCUUUGAACGCACCUUGCACUCCUUGGUAUUCCGAGGAGUAUGCCUGUUUGAGUCCAGGUAUUCCAACCCCUAAAUUUUUGUAAUGAAGGUUUAGCGGGCUUGGACUUGGAGGUUGUGUCGGCCCUUGUCGGUCGACUCCUCUGAAAUGCAUUAGCGUGAAUCUUACGGAUCGCCUUCAGUGUGAUAAUUAUCUGCGCUGUGGUGUUGAAGUAUUCAUGGUGUUCAUGCUUCGAACCGUCUCCUUGCCGAGACAAUCAUUUGACAAUCUGAGCUCAAAUCAGGUAGGACUACCCGCUGAACUUAAG